UAUAACCGUAUUGCCGCCACUAC
RNAcentral lists this non-coding RNA (23 nucleotides) under Arabidopsis thaliana (thale cress). Lineage: Eukaryota; Viridiplantae; Streptophyta; Magnoliopsida; Brassicales; Brassicaceae. The record is from RNAcentral.